Molecule: long non-coding RNA, 245 nt
Filed under: Elaeis guineensis (African oil palm)
Lineage: Eukaryota; Viridiplantae; Streptophyta; Magnoliopsida; Arecales; Arecaceae
Description: long non-coding RNA (EGUI_LNC068253)
Source: RNAcentral
ACGACUGCUUUUAUUCUACCAACUCACCAAGCACAACAAGCUUGUAAAUAGAUUGGGAUGUCUAUUAUAAAGAAGGAAAUAUGGAUGGAGAGGAGAAGGGAACAUUCUUCUUUUAUGUAUAUAUUUCUUUCUUUCUUUUUUUUUUUUGAUGGGAUAAGAUUCUUCAAAAGUAUUAGGCAAGAUCAUGAUGUUACUUAAUAGUUUAGGAUUGACUAAUGACCUUAGAUCGUCCUAUACAUAUGUAC